UCCUACGGGGGCAGCAGUGGGGAAUAUUGCACAAUGGGCGCAAGCCUGAUGCAGCGACGCCGCGUGCGGGAUGGAGGCCUUCGGGUUGUAAACCGCUUUUGUUCAAGGGCAAGGCACGGUCUUUGGCCGUGUUGAGUGGAUUGUUCGAAUAAGCACCGGCUAACUACGUGCCAGCAGCCGCGGUAAUAUGUAGGGGGCAAGCGUUAUCCGGAUUUAUUGGGCGUAAAGGGCGCGCAGGCGGUUCGUGCCGUCCGGUGUGCAAGUCCACCGC
RNAcentral lists this ribosomal RNA (271 nucleotides) under uncultured bacterium. Its description in RNAcentral is "partial 16S ribosomal RNA". It matches the Rfam family "Bacterial small subunit ribosomal RNA", at positions 337 to 608 of the family's 1533-position model. The record is from RNAcentral.